UACGGAGGGCGCAAGCGUUGUUCGGAAUCACUGGGCGUAAAGGGCGUGUAGGCGGUCAGGCAAGUCGGAUGUGAAAGCCCUGGGCUCAACCCGGGAAUUGCACACGAAACUGCUUGGCUAGAGUUCCGGAGAGGAAGGCGGAAUUCCCAGUGUAGGGGUGAAAUUCGUAGAUAUUGGGAAGAAUACCAGAGGCGAAGGCGGCCUUCUGGACGGUGACUGACGCUGAGACGCGAAAGCGUGGGUAGCAAACAGG
RNAcentral lists this ribosomal RNA (253 nucleotides) under uncultured bacterium. RNAcentral's name for it is "partial 16S ribosomal RNA". It matches the Rfam family "Bacterial small subunit ribosomal RNA", at positions 524 to 776 of the family's 1533-position model. The record is from RNAcentral.